UGUUUCGAUAGUUCAAUAAACAAUACUUGUUACUCUGUGUAAUUCUAGGGUUAAGGUUGAAAGGGAUUUAACACACAUAAUCAUAUGUGACAACUGUUAAAAGUCUUAUAUAGUUCUGCUAGUAACUUUCUCUCUGAGAAGGGGCCUUGUGUCUAAUUAGGUAGUUGGUAAAGCAAAGCUAACUAAGGCAAUUAGGAAGAUCAACCACACUAACUGAGACACAGCCCAUACUCCUACUAAAUGCAGUAGUGGGGAAUUCUCCGCAAUGGGAGAAAGCCCGACAGAGCAAUGUCGCGUGGAGGUAGAAGAGGCAAUGAAAGCAUCGGCUUUCUUUGUGCUAGCAGUCGCGGUAAAACAAAGGAUGCAAGCA
This 370-nucleotide ribosomal RNA is filed under the name Prunus dulcis (almond). RNAcentral's name for it is "rRNA SSU_rRNA_bacteria". It matches the Rfam family "Bacterial small subunit ribosomal RNA", at positions 156 to 539 of the family's 1533-position model. The record is from Rfam by way of RNAcentral. Lineage: Eukaryota; Viridiplantae; Streptophyta; Magnoliopsida; Rosales; Rosaceae.